GAUGAACGCUAGCGGCAGGCCUAACACAUGCAAGUCGAGGGGGAGGUUACUUUCGGGUAACUGAGACCGGCGUACGGGUGCGUAACGCGUAUACAAUCUGCCUUUCACUGGGGGAUAGCCCGAAGAAAUUUGGAUUAAUACCCCAUAGUAUAGUAAUACGGCAUCGUGAUGCUAUUAAAGCUUAGGUGGUGAAAGAUGAGUAUGCGUUCUAUUAGCUAGUUGGAGAGGUAACGGCUCCCCAAGGCGAUGAUAGAUAGGGGUUCUGAGAGGGAUGUCCCCCACACUGGUACUGAGAUACGGACCAGACUCCUACGGGAGGCAGCAGUGAGGAAUAUUGGACAAUGGUCGGCAGACUGAUCCAGCCAUGCCGCGUGCAGGAUGAAGGUCUUAUGGACUGUAAACUGCUUUUGUAAGGGAAGAAUAAGGGCUACGCGUAGUUUGAUGACGGUACCUUACGAAUAAGCAUCGGCUAACUCCGUG
This 480-nucleotide ribosomal RNA is filed under the name uncultured bacterium. Its description in RNAcentral is "partial 16S ribosomal RNA". It matches the Rfam family "Bacterial small subunit ribosomal RNA", at positions 28 to 507 of the family's 1533-position model. The record is from RNAcentral.